Molecule: unclassified non-coding RNA, 399 nt
Filed under: soil metagenome
Description: partial contains 5.8S ribosomal RNA, internal transcribed spacer 2, and large subunit ribosomal RNA
Rfam family: 5.8S ribosomal RNA (bases 1-120)
Source: RNAcentral
AUGAAGAACGCAGCGAAAUGCGAUAAGUAAUGUGAAUUGCAGAAUUCAGUGAAUCAUCGAAUCUUUGAACGCACCUUGCGCCCUUUGGCCAUUCCGAAGGGCAUGCCUGUUUGAGUAUCAUGAACACCUCAACUCUCAUGGCUCGCCAUGAUGAGCUUGGAUUUGGGGGUCUUGCUGGCCUGUGGUCGGCUCCUCUCAAAUGGAUCAGCUUGCCAGUGUUUGGUGGCAUCACAGGUGUGAUAACUAUCUGCGCUUGUGGUUUUCCAUCAGAUAACCUUCAGUGAUGGAGGUUCGCUGGAGCUCAUAAACGUCUCCCCUAAGCGGGGACAGCCCUUUGAAUGUUUGAUCUCAAAUCAGGUAGGACUACCCGCUGAACUUAAGCAUAUCAAAAGCGGAGGA